AUUGAACGCUGGCGGCAGGCCUAACACAUGCAAGUCGAGCGCGAAAGCACUUCGGUGUGAGUAGAGCGGCGGACGGGUGAGUAACGCGUAAGAAUCUACCUAGUAGUGGGGGACAACUCGAGGAAACUCGAGCUAAUACCGCAUACGCCCUACGGGGGAAAGCGGGGGACCUUCGGGCCUCGCGCUAUUAGAUGAGCUUGCGUUGGAUUAGCUUGUUGGUGAGGUAAUGGCUCACCAAGGCUACGAUCCAUAGCUGGUCUGAGAGGAUGAUCAGCCACACCGGGACUGAGACACGGCCCGGACUCCUACGGGAGGCAGCAGUGGGGAAUAUUGCGCAAUGGGCGAAAGCCUGACGCAGCCAUGCCGCGUGUGUGAAGAAGGCCUUAGGGUUGUAAAGCACUUUCAAUUGGGAGGAAAAGUUAACGACUAAUACUCGUUAGCCUUGACGUUACCUUUAGAAGAAGCACCGGCUAACUCCGUGCCAGCAGCCGCGGUAAUACGGAGGGUGCAAGCGUUAAUCGGAAUUACUGGGCGUAAAGCGCGCGUAGGCGGCUUUUUAAGUCGGAUGUGAAAGCCCCGGGCUCAACCUGGGAACUGCAUCCGAUACUGGAAGACUAGAGUGCGAGAGAGGGAGGUAGAAUUCCAUGUGUAGCGGUGAAAUGCGUAGAUAUAUGGAGGAAUACCAGUGGCGAAGGCGGCCUCCUGGCUCGACACUGACGCUGAG
This 724-nucleotide ribosomal RNA is filed under the name bacterium IMCC8954. Its description in RNAcentral is "bacterial SSU rRNA". It matches the Rfam family "Bacterial small subunit ribosomal RNA", at positions 28 to 750 of the family's 1533-position model. The record is from RNAcentral.